Long non-coding RNA from Labeo rohita (rohu), 250 nucleotides. RefSeq lists it as uncharacterized. The record is from RefSeq and is a predicted model, not a curated record. NCBI's taxonomy places the organism in Eukaryota, Metazoa, Chordata, Actinopteri, Cypriniformes, Cyprinidae. The transcript has 3 exons.
GAGGAAUCUAUUUUUGCUCGCACCACGUUCUCACGCUUAAGUUUUCUCAUUUGAGCUAAAACAUGGACAUGGUCAAUGUGACGUGUGCAGAGAUUCAGACUCCAGUGGGUUUUCUGUAUAUGAUUCUGCCUGUUCUACUGAAUCACACCAACAAUCCAGACUGCGAUCAGAGCUGGUAUUUACAGAAAAAUUUGAUUGCACAUUCUCAAACACUGAUUGAUCCUGCGAUAUCUGUCUCAUCUGAUCGUCU